RNAcentral lists this ribosomal RNA (458 nucleotides) under uncultured bacterium. RNAcentral's name for it is "bacterial SSU rRNA". It matches the Rfam family "Bacterial small subunit ribosomal RNA", at positions 355 to 786 of the family's 1533-position model. The record is from RNAcentral.
UGGGGAAUAUUGCGCAAUGGCCGAGAGGCUGACGCAGCGACGCCGCGUGCGGGAGGAAGCCCUUCGGGGUGUAAACCGCUGUCAGGGAGGACGAAAGGUGGGGCCUGGAAUACGGGUCUUACUUGACGGUACCUCCAGAGGAAGCGCCGGCUAACUCCGUGCCAGCAGCCGCGGUAAGACGGAGGGCGCGAGCGUUGUCCGGAAUCACUGGGCGUAAAGCGCGCGCAGGCGGAUGAGGAAGUCAGGGGUGAAAGACCGGGGCUCAACUCCGGGGUUGCCUCUGAUACUCCUUGUCUAGGGACCGGUAGAGGCCGGUGGAAUUCCCGGUGUAGCGGUGGAAUGCGUAGAGAUCGGGAAGAACACCAGUGGCGAAGGCGGCCGGCUGGGCCGGGGAUCCCUUUGGGGAUCGAUCCGACGCUGAGGCGCGAAAGCGUGGGGAGCAAACAGGAUUAGAUACC